GACGAACGCUGGCGGCGUGCCUAAUACAUGCAAGUCGAACGGUCAGGGUGGAGGUUUCUUCUCUUGAUGAGUUGCGAACGCGUGAGUAAAACGUAGGUAAAACGCCUGGUAGCGGGGGAGAACUAUUGGGAAAACUGGCUAAAACCCCAUAAUAGCAGUUGUUGCAUGUCAAAUUUUGGAAAGGUGCAACUGAAUCACUAACAGAUGGACCUGCGUUGUAUUAGCUAGUUGGUGGGGUAAAGGAUCACCAAGGCGACGAGACAUAGCCGACCUGCGAGGGUGAACGGCCACACUGGGACUGAGACACGGCCCAGACUCCUACGGGAGGCAGCAGUAGGGAAUCUUCGGCAAUGGACGGAAGUCUGACCGAGCGACGCCGCGUGAGUGAAGAAGGCUUUCGGAUCGUAAAGCUCUGUUGUAAGGGAAGAACGAGUGUGGGAGUAGAAAGUUCACGCUGUGACGGUAUCUUACCAGAAAGGCACGGCUAACUACGUG
This 495-nucleotide ribosomal RNA is filed under the name uncultured bacterium. Its description in RNAcentral is "partial 16S ribosomal RNA". It matches the Rfam family "Bacterial small subunit ribosomal RNA", at positions 28 to 507 of the family's 1533-position model. The record is from RNAcentral.